Molecule: long non-coding RNA, 396 nt
Organism: Ornithodoros turicata
Lineage: Eukaryota; Metazoa; Arthropoda; Arachnida; Ixodida; Argasidae
Exons: 2
Source: RefSeq, a predicted model, not a curated record
GUGGCGUUCGACUGUACGAGAGUUGCGGCUGGGCUCAUAGCUGGAAACGUGACAGAGAGACGACCGGCCCCGCCUAGCAACACUUAUUGCUUCAGGAGCGUCUUCAACUCCAAGGUCGCCUUCCCCGAACUACUGGUCAUCCUAAUGGGCGGACCACGAUGGCGAGGUCUGAAAUUCGCAACAGGGAAUGCGCGUGCACUGUUGGAAAGAAGGGAACGCUCAGUACGGGUGAUGACGUCACCUACCUCUUCACAACCUGAAAGUUGCCAAGGCAUGCCAGUGCCUACAGAAACUACUGACGAUACAUCGCGUUUACUCCCAACGUGCACAUUUCCCAUGUGAAGUGCGUAUACGAGUGACGUUAUUUUAUAAUAUCACAUAAAAAUAACUACAAUA